GAACAAAGAUGGCGGCCGGAAGUGACACGGUUUUGUUUAUUGUGUCGGAAGCUUGAAAAUGAUGAACAUGUAAUGGAAAUAUGAAGUAGUGACAGUAAGUCUAAAACAGAUAAAUGACAAAAACAAAACAAAAAGAUGUCCAUGUUUGCGUCGCAGGUCGCUUGUGCUAGCUGCGGCCUGCCGGCUGAGCUGAGGGAGAGGCUCCGGUACCGGUACCGGAGAAACCGUUAGAUGUUCCCCUCGGAGGCCUGUGUGCUCCAGCCGGACGGACAGAGCUUCAGUGCACAGGACUGUGAUUCUGACUUGGCGUUGCACCGAGCUGCAGGCCUGGACUUGAAUCACCGAGUCGGACCAGAGGAACAAAGACUCUCCUCUCAGCGAGCAUGGUCGGUUUAAUGCCGCUUGAUCAGAAGCUGACUGCAGACAUCUAACCUGGAGGACAAUCUACAUAUAAAGUUCGCUGAAUCUCUUUGGGUUUUGGACUGUUGGUCGGACAAAACAAGACCUCAGAAGACGUCAGCUUGGACUUUACAGCAGCAGAGAGCAGCUGCUGAACGUAGCGGAGCAUCUAGCUGCUAAAGAGCCAGAUGUUUCCCUCAGCAG
Siniperca chuatsi (mandarin fish) is the source of this 603-nucleotide long non-coding RNA. RefSeq lists it as uncharacterized. The transcript has 4 exons. The record is from RefSeq and is a predicted model, not a curated record. Lineage: Eukaryota; Metazoa; Chordata; Actinopteri; Centrarchiformes; Sinipercidae.